This 253-nucleotide ribosomal RNA is filed under the name uncultured bacterium. RNAcentral describes it as "partial 16S ribosomal RNA". It matches the Rfam family "Bacterial small subunit ribosomal RNA", at positions 524 to 776 of the family's 1533-position model. The record is from RNAcentral.
UACGGAGGGGGCUAGCGUUGUUCGGAAUUACUGGGCGUAAAGCGCGCGUAGGCGGACCUGCAAGUCGGGGGUGAAAGCCCGAGGCUCAACCUCGGAACUGCCUUCGAUACUGCGGGUCUCGAGUCCGGGAGAGGUGAGUGGAAUUCCUAGUGUAGAGGUGAAAUUCGUAGAUAUUAGGAAGAACACCAGUGGCGAAGGCGGGUCACUGGCUCGGUACUGACGCUGAGGCGCGAAAGCGUGGGGAGCAAACAGG